ACGUUAGCGGCGGACGGGUGAGUAGCACGUGGGUAACCUACCUAUAAGACUGGGAUAACUUCGGGAAACCGGAGCUAAUACCGGAUAAUAUUUCGAACCGCAUGGUUCGAUAGUGAAAGGUGGUUUUGCUAUCACUUAUAGAUGGACCCGCGCCGUAUUAGCUAGUUGGUAAGGUAACGGCUUACCAAGGCGACGAUACGUAGCCGACCUGAGAGGGUGAUCGGCCACACUGGAACUGAGACACGGUCCAGACUCCUACGGGAGGCAGCAGAC
This 273-nucleotide ribosomal RNA is filed under the name uncultured Staphylococcus sp. Its description in RNAcentral is "partial 16S ribosomal RNA". It matches the Rfam family "Bacterial small subunit ribosomal RNA", at positions 89 to 354 of the family's 1533-position model. The record is from RNAcentral. Lineage: Bacteria; Bacillati; Bacillota; Bacilli; Caryophanales; Staphylococcaceae.